AGGGGACGGCGAUCUCCCCACGAGGCGACAGGCCGAAGUAUCGCGUCCCGCUCCCAUGCUCGGACGCGCCAUG
This 73-nucleotide non-coding RNA is filed under the name uncultured Methylobacterium sp. RNAcentral's name for it is "chrB-a RNA". It matches the Rfam family "chrB-a RNA". The record is from RNAcentral. Lineage: Bacteria; Pseudomonadati; Pseudomonadota; Alphaproteobacteria; Hyphomicrobiales; Methylobacteriaceae.